AGUCUCCUGAAGGAACGUUGAAGACGACGACGUUGAUAGGCCGGGUGUGUAAGCGCAGCGAUGCGUUGAGCUAACAGGUACUAAUGAACCGUGAGGCUUAACCUUACAACGCCGAAG
RNAcentral lists this ribosomal RNA (117 nucleotides) under Salmonella enterica subsp. enterica serovar Derby. RNAcentral describes it as "partial 23S ribosomal RNA". The stretch from base 1 to 105 matches the Rfam family "Bacterial large subunit ribosomal RNA", at positions 2821 to 2925 of the family's 2925-position model. The record is from RNAcentral. Lineage: Bacteria; Pseudomonadati; Pseudomonadota; Gammaproteobacteria; Enterobacterales; Enterobacteriaceae.